GAUUGACGCUAGCGGCAGGCAUAAUACAUGCAAGUUGAACGAGAUUAGUUUUAGCAAUAGAACUAGUUUAGUGGCGCACGGGUGCGUAACGCGUAUGCAACCUACCUUAAACAGGGGAAUAGCCUCUCGAAAGAGAGAUUAAUACCGCAUAAUAUAUAUUUAAUGCAUAUUAGAUAUAUUAAACCUACGGGGGUUUAAGAUGGGCAUGCGUGACAUUAGCUAGUUGGUGAGGUAACGGCUCACCAAGGCAACGAUGUCUAGGGGGUCUGAGAGGAUGUCCCCCCACACUGGUACUGAGACACGGACCAGACUCCUACGGGAGGCAGCAGUAGGGAAUAUUGGUCAAUGGGGGGCAACCCUGAACCAGCCAUGCCGCGUGCAGGAAUAAGGCCCUAUGGGUCGUAAACUGCUUUUUGAACGGGAAGAAAUCUAUUUACGUGUAAAUAGUUGACGGUACCGUUAGAAUAAGGAUCGGCUAACUUCGUGCCAGCAGCCGCGGU
This 500-nucleotide ribosomal RNA is filed under the name uncultured bacterium. RNAcentral describes it as "bacterial SSU rRNA". It matches the Rfam family "Bacterial small subunit ribosomal RNA", at positions 28 to 521 of the family's 1533-position model. The record is from RNAcentral.